Long non-coding RNA from Astyanax mexicanus (Mexican tetra), 1206 nucleotides. RefSeq lists it as uncharacterized. The transcript has 6 exons. Lineage: Eukaryota; Metazoa; Chordata; Actinopteri; Characiformes; Acestrorhamphidae. The record is from RefSeq and is a predicted model, not a curated record.
CUGUAUUAUAUGGAUUUUCUAAAGUCUUGUUAUAAUUUUAUAAUUUUUGAACCUUUUUUAAGUGUGACCCCAAUAACUUUCAAGUGAUUCUGGGAGCUGUAAACGAGCCAAACCACUGGAUACUGACAGCAUUUUUUCCACAACAAAAAAGGAGUUUGGUGCUUGAUUCUCUUGGAAACGCCUCCACAAAAUUAGUCACAUGUGAAAGGACAGCAAGAGCAUUCAUGAGAAAGCGAGGGUGUGAGGUGUCCACAUGGACAACAGAAACGGUUCCUCAUGCAUUACAGACAGAUGCUGUGUCAUGUGGAGUGUUUGUGCUGAAAUACGCUGAGAAUAUUCUGGCAGAGGAGCCACUGACAUUUACUAAUUCAAAAUCAGCUGUUCAGACUUACAGAUGGGAGGUGGCAAUGACUUUGCUCAAGGAGACAGAUAAUCUCGAAGAUGUGUGCCACUACUGUGGAGAAAAAAGUGGAGAAACAGAAAAAAGCAAACGUGGGAAAAAAAAGAAAGGGCAAGCAUGCAAUACUGUCUGGAUCCAGUGUGAUGACUGCACUAGGUGGUUUCACCUAAAUUGUGUGGGGAAACCCAACAUAAAUGAGAGCUACAGCUGUGCUGCAUGCCAAUAGCAAGAGAGCUAUCUUACAAAGAGAUCACUAUUUUUUUUUUUUUAUAUAUAUAUAUAAUUUUAUUUCCAUUUUUUUUCCCAUUUUCUCCCAAUUUUACACGGUCAGUUACCCAACCCACUCAUUAGGACUCCCCCUAAUACUAGUGAUGCCCCAACACACCAGGAGGAUGAAGACCAACCCCCCCCUUUCUCUGACAGGUGAAGUCAGACUCUGCCUAUUUUUGAACAGCUGCUGAUGCAGCAUUGCCAAGUAGCAUCAUCAGCUCACAGACGCCUUGUGCUGAUCGAAAUCAUCCUUUGGAGUGAUGAGGGGAAAGAGUGCCAUGUACCCACCCAGAGAGAGCAAGGCCAAUUUUGCUGCCUGAGGGUUCCGGUAGCUAAUGGCAACUACAUAAACAGGAUUUGAACCGGCGAGCUCCUGGUCAUAGAGGCAGUGCAAAGCCUGCUGGACCACUCGGAGGCCAUCACUAUGUUUUGUUUUGACAGAAAGGUUUGUGUUUAUGUGUAUGUAUCUUUUGCAUGUUUUCCCAUUAUUUGAGCUUGAUUAUUAUGUAGACUUUGCAAUAAAUAAGUAUUUUCAA